GAUGAACGCUGGCGGCGUGCCUAAUACAUGCAAGUCGAGCGAACAGACGAGGAACUUGCUCCUCUGACGUUAGCGGCGGACGGGUGAGUAACACGUGGAUAACCUACCUAUAAGACUGGGAUAACUUCGGGAAACCAGAGCUAAUACCGGAUAAUAUAUUGAACCGCAUGGUUCAAUAGUGAAAGACGCUUUUGCUGUCACUUAUAGAUAGAUCCGCGCCGCAUUAGCUAGUUGGUAAGGUAACGGCUUACCAAGGCAACGAUGCGUAGCCGACCUGAGAGGGUGACUGGCCACACUGGAACUGAGACACGGCCCAGACCCCUACGGGAGGCAGCAGUAGGGAAUCUUCCCCAAUGGGGGAAAGCCUGACGGAGAAACGCCGGGGGGGGGAUGAAGGUCUUCGGAUCGUAAAACUCUUUUAUUAGGGAAAAAGAAAUGUGUAAGUAACUAUGCACGUCUUGACGGUACCUAAUCAGAAAGCCACGGCUAACUACGUG
RNAcentral lists this ribosomal RNA (497 nucleotides) under uncultured bacterium. RNAcentral describes it as "partial 16S ribosomal RNA". It matches the Rfam family "Bacterial small subunit ribosomal RNA", at positions 28 to 507 of the family's 1533-position model. The record is from RNAcentral.